Callithrix jacchus (white-tufted-ear marmoset) is the source of this 109-nucleotide Y RNA. It matches the Rfam family "Y RNA". Rfam says of the family: Y RNAs are components of the Ro ribonucleoprotein particle (Ro RNP), in association with Ro60 and La proteins. The Y RNAs and Ro60 and La proteins are well conserved, but the function of the Ro RNP is not known. In humans the RNA component can be one of four small RNAs -- hY1, hY3, hY4 and hY5. Lineage: Eukaryota; Metazoa; Chordata; Mammalia; Primates; Cebidae. The record is from Ensembl.
AGCUGGUCUGAAGGUAAUGAAUUAUCUAGAUUGUUCACAGUCAGUUAUGGAACAAACUGCUUGUUCUACUCUUUUUCCCCUUCUCACUACUGCACUUGACUAGUCUUAG